This 1939-nucleotide unclassified non-coding RNA is filed under the name Hevea brasiliensis (rubber tree). The record is from RNAcentral. Lineage: Eukaryota; Viridiplantae; Streptophyta; Magnoliopsida; Malpighiales; Euphorbiaceae.
AUUAAAUGAGAAAUCAGUAAGCUCAUUCUUCGAAAGUUCCAGCCGAACUUCAGGGUUGACGACUGAGAACGGAUCAUAAGCAGAGAGGAAAGCCGUGUUGUUUUCUCCUUGUGCAGAGGCAUCGCCCCUUUAUUUAUCUCUCUUUCGUCUGCGAUCAUUGCAGAAUAGGUUACACCUGGGGAUUCAAGAAUGGGGCACAAUAAAAUAGCCAGAAAGAUUGCUGAACUAUGUCCUGAGUUGGCUGGAAUUGUGCAAGAAAGGAUCAGUCCACGCAAUUUAAUAUUAAAAGAAAACACAAAUAUUGUGAGGAAAGUACUCGAAGGGUGGCCAGAAUUUGCUUGGGAGACCGACGAGGAUGGUUGUGUACCAUUGCACUACGCUUGUGAAAGAGGUCUCUUGGAGAUUACAAGAUUGAUUCUAAAAGUAGAACCAAGGUGUGCUAACAGGUUUAAUAAGAAUGCCUACACACCAUUGCACUUUGCAGCAAUGAAUGGUGACGUUCUCCUACUUACUGAAUUUAUGACAAUGGUUCCCAAAUCUUUCAUGCUUCUCACCAAAAAGGCAGAAACAGUAAUGCACCUUGCUGCUAAAUUUGGUAAAUGCAAAGCUUUCGUCACAAUGACGGAGACUUUAGGGAGCAACGAUCUUUUCCGCCGACCGGAUCUGUAUGGCAACACAGUCUUACAUCUUGCUGUUUCUGCAAGCUGCUAUCAACUAGCAGAAUACAUAAUCGUUACGGCAAUUGUUGAUGUCGAGCAUAGAAACUAUCAUGGACAUACAGCACUCGACCUUCUUAAUCAAGCAAGAGUCACCGGUGAAACUGAGCAUAUUAGAGCUUUGUUGAAAUCUGGCUAUCCUUAUAGCUCUAUAACAUCACAACUUUCAUCAGAGGUCGAGACUUCGACUUCUCAGAAUGUGACAAUUGGAUCCAGAUAUGCAUCUGAUCAAAAAUUUGAGAAGCCACCUACGUUUAUGACGAAUAUGGGGAAUGAUGUUGGCAACAAAACCAACAAUCAGCAUGUGAUCAAUGAUGAACUUGAUGAAACCACUGCUGAAGCUGAUGCUCUCUCUCAAUCUGAAGAAAUCCAGGAUGAUAAAUAUGAACAAGGAUCCUCAUCAGAAAGAACAGAAUUGCAUCAUCAACGCAAGUAUCUAAGCAAGAGACACAGGAAAGAACAGAGGGAGCUCCACAGAAAUCGUCGAAAUAGACAAUAUGACACACAUAGGGAGGGACUACAAAAUGCUCGAAACACAAUCAUACUAGUAGCCAUUCUGAUAGCCACAGUUACUUUUACUGUUGGUUUGAAUCCCCCUGGGGGUUUCUAUCAGCAGGGAACGCUAAUAGGCCAGUCAACAGUUGGUAGAAAUUUGGCUUUUAAGAUCUUCGCUAUGAGCAACAGCAUUGCAUUGUUCACAUCUCUGUGCAUUGUAAUUAUUCUAGUGAGCAUCAUCCCCUUCGAGAGAAGAAAACUAAUGAGGCUAAUGGUGAUCACUCACAAGGUCAUGUGGGUGGCUUUGUCUUUCAUGGCAACAGCUUUUGUUGCAGCCUCAUGGGUGAUCUUGCCAAAUGAUCGCAAAACAAGAUGGAUGCUUGAGACUAUAUUGACUAUUGGUGCUGGAAGCAUGGUAACUGUGUUUAUCUAUCUGGGAGUUCAGUUAGCUAGACACUGGUUGAGGAAGCAGAAAUGGAAGAAACAGAGAGGCAAGAAGAGCAGAAUUGUUGCUGUCAACAAGGAAUUGAAAUUACAACCUUCUAAAACCUUGAUUACAAAACAAAUCGAACCUUAUCCAGUGCUAUUCAACAAUCAAUCAGACUCAUCCAACUCUGAUGUUGAAAGUGCAAAAUCCUUUGGGUAUCACACCUACUAAUGGUGAAAUCUGCUUGUUCCUGAUCUGCCCAAUAAUUUCAGAAAUAAAUUGUCCUUUUUUUUCCGAUUCU